Molecule: ribosomal RNA, 370 nt
Filed under: uncultured organism
Description: bacterial SSU rRNA
Rfam family: Bacterial small subunit ribosomal RNA
Source: RNAcentral
CGGAGGGUGCAAGCGUUAUCCGGUAUUUACUGGGGUUUAAAGGGUGUGUAGGCGGGCUUUUAAGUCAGCGGUGAAAUCUCCGGGCUCAACCCGGAAACUGCCAUUGAUACUAUUAGUCUUGAAUUUUGUUGAGGUAGGCGGAAUAAGUCAUGUAGCGGUGAAAUGCAUAGAUAUGACUUAGAACACCAAUUGCGAAGGCAGCUUGCUAAACAAAUAUUGACGCUGAGGCACGAAAGCGUGGGGAUCAAACAGGAUUAGAUACCCUGGUAGUCCACGCCCUAAACGAUGAUUACUCGACAUACGCGAUACACAGUGUGUGUCUGAGCGAAAGCAUUAAGUAAUCCACCUGGGAAGUACGACCGCAAGGUUG